Molecule: ribosomal RNA, 325 nt
Filed under: uncultured eukaryote
Lineage: Eukaryota
Description: partial 18S ribosomal RNA
Rfam family: Eukaryotic small subunit ribosomal RNA
Source: RNAcentral
CCCUUAGAUGUUCUGGGCCGCACACGCGCUACACUGAAGGAGGCAGCGUGUACUCCUGGAUCGAAAGAUUUGGGUAACCCGCGAAUCUCCUUCGUGCUAGGGAUUGAGGUUUGCAAUUAUCCUUCAUGAACGAGGAAUUCCCAGUAAGUGCAAGUCAUCAGCUUGCAUUGAUUACGUCCCUGCCCUUUGUACACACCGCCCGUCGCACCUACUGAUUGGAUGACUCGGUGAAAAAUUGGGACUGUGAAGAACACUGCUUAAUUGCGGCGUUUUUUAUGGGAACUUUUUUAAACCUCGUUAUCUAGAAGAAGGUGAAGUCGUAACA